AACGAACGCUGGCGGCAUGCCUAACACAUGCAAGUCGAACGAGACCUUCGGGUCUAGUGGCGCACGGGUGCGUAACGCGUGGGAACCUGCCCGUAGGUUCGGUAUAACUCCCCGAGAGGGGUGCUAAUACCGGAGAAUGUCUUCGGACCAAAGAUUUAUCGCCGUUGGAUGGGCCCGCGUUGGAUUCGCUAGUUGGUAGGGUACAAGCCUACCAAGGCGACGAUGCUGAGCUGGUCUGAGAGGAUGGUCAGCUACACUGGAAAUGAGACACGGCCCAGUACGCGACGGGAGGCAGCAGUGGGGAAUACUGGACAAGGGGCGAAAGCCCGAUCCAGCAAUGCCGCGUGAGUGAUGAAGGCCUUAGGGUUGUAAAGCUCUUUUUCACGGGAUGAUAAUGACAGUAACGGGAGAAUAAGCUCCGGCUAACUACGUG
This 433-nucleotide ribosomal RNA is filed under the name uncultured bacterium. Its description in RNAcentral is "partial 16S ribosomal RNA". It matches the Rfam family "Bacterial small subunit ribosomal RNA", at positions 29 to 507 of the family's 1533-position model. The record is from RNAcentral.